This 428-nucleotide unclassified non-coding RNA is filed under the name Hevea brasiliensis (rubber tree). Lineage: Eukaryota; Viridiplantae; Streptophyta; Magnoliopsida; Malpighiales; Euphorbiaceae. The record is from RNAcentral.
UUAUAACAAAAAAAUAUAUUUUUAUAUUUUUAUAUUAAAAUAAAAAUUGAUGCAGAGAUCGGGCAUGUUGGGGAGGCUUAAUCCUGUUUCUGCCACAUUACCAUUCACUGUGUGGGGAUGGGUUCCAUGUUGGAGCAGAUUGGGUUUUGCCAUCCCUACAUGUUUCUACUAGGCUCCUUGAUCUUUUUGCUAUCCAAAACUUCUUAUUUUGAAAAAAAUUCUCUGCUGGAGUUCUUCCAAUUGAUUUAAAUUCUUGCCAUUUGUUGCAAUCAUAUUCUCGUUCGAGUUACUUACCUUUGUUAUUGUUUUGUAAGAUAUUAUUUGUUUCUAUUUUCAAGGUCAUCAAGUUACCUGAAAUUGUACUGAGCUUUUUUGGUUUCAUCUGUGACCUUUCUUUAUUUGGCAGGUUGCUGGACUGAUUCUGGAAA